GGCUGUCGUCAGCUCGUGUCGUGAGAUGUUGGGUUAAGUCCCGCAACGAGCGCAACCCACGUCUUUAGUUGCCAGCAUUCAGUUGGGCACUCUAGAGAGACCGCCGGUGAUAAACCGGAGGAAGGUGUGGAUGACGUCAAGUCAUCAUGCCCCUUACAUCCUGGGCUACACACGUACUACAAUGCUACGGACAAAGGGCAGCAAACUCGCGAGAGCUAGCAAAUCCCAUAAACCGUGGCUCAGUUCAGAUCGUAGGCUGCAACUCGCCUACGUGAAGGAGGAAUCGCUAGUAAUCGCAGGUCAGCAUACUGCGGUGAAUACGUUCCCGGGCCUUGUACACACCGCCCGUCACACCAUGGAAGUUGGCCACGCCCGAAGUCGUUACUCCAACCCUUGUGGAGGAGGAUGCCGAAGGUGGGGCUGAUGACUGGGGUGAAGUCGUAACAAGGUAGCCGUACCGGAAGGUGCGGCUGGAUCACCUCCUAA
This 486-nucleotide ribosomal RNA is filed under the name uncultured cyanobacterium. RNAcentral's name for it is "bacterial SSU rRNA". It matches the Rfam family "Bacterial small subunit ribosomal RNA", at positions 1047 to 1533 of the family's 1533-position model. The record is from RNAcentral. Lineage: Bacteria; Bacillati; Cyanobacteriota.